RNAcentral lists this ribosomal RNA (497 nucleotides) under uncultured bacterium. RNAcentral describes it as "partial 16S ribosomal RNA". It matches the Rfam family "Bacterial small subunit ribosomal RNA", at positions 28 to 507 of the family's 1533-position model. The record is from RNAcentral.
GAUGAACGCUGGCGGCGUACCUAAUACAUGCAAGUCGAGCGAACGGACGAGAAGCUUGCUUCUCUGAUGUUAGCGGCGGACGGGUGAGUAACACGUGGAUAACCUACCUAUAAGACUGGGAUAACUUCGGGAAACCGUAGCUAAUACCGGAUGAUAUUUUGAACCGCAUGGUUCAAAAGUGAAAGACGGUCUUUCUGUCACUUAUAGAUGGAUCCGCGCUGCAUUAGCUAGUUGGUAAGGUAACGGCUUACCAAGGCAACGAUGCAUAGCCGACCUGAGAGGGUGAUCGGCCACACUGGAACUGAGACACGGUCCAGACUCCUACGGGAGGCAGCAGUAGGGAAUCUUCCGCAAUGGGCGAAAGCCUGACGGAGCAACGCCGCGUGAGUGAUGAAGGUCUUCGGAUCGUAAAACUCUGUUAUUAGGGAAGAAAAUAUGUGUAAGUAACUGUGCACAUCUUGACGGUACCUAAUCAGAAAGCAACGGCUAACUACGUG